Molecule: ribosomal RNA, 466 nt
Filed under: uncultured bacterium
Lineage: Bacteria
Description: bacterial SSU rRNA
Rfam family: Bacterial small subunit ribosomal RNA
Source: RNAcentral
UUCCAGACUCCUACGGGAGGCAGCAGUGAGGAAUAUUGGUCAAUGGGCUUACGCCUGAACCAGCCAAGUCGCGUGAGGGAAGACUGCCCUAUGGGUUGUAAACCUCUUUUGUCAGGGAGCAAUUGGCGCUACGUGUAGCGUUAUCGAGAGUACCUGAAGAAAAAGCAUCGGCUAACUCCGUGCCAGCAGCCGCGGUAAUACGGAGGAUGCGAGCGUUAUCCGGAUUUAUUGGGUUUAAAGGGUGCGCAGGCGGCACGGCAAGCCGGCGGUCAAAUCGCGGGGCUCAACCCCGCCCAGCCGUCGGAACUGCCGGGCUAGAGUGGGCGAGAAGUGCGCGGAAUGCGUGGUGUAGCGGUGAAAUGCAUAGAUAUCACGCAGAACCCCGAUUGCGAAGGCAGCCUUCCGGCGCCCUACUGACGCUGAGGCACGAAAGUGCGGGGAUCGAACAGGAUUAGAUACCCGAGUA